Long non-coding RNA from Danio rerio (zebrafish), 2465 nucleotides. The record is from Ensembl. NCBI's taxonomy places the organism in Eukaryota, Metazoa, Chordata, Actinopteri, Cypriniformes, Danionidae.
AUGGCGUUUAUAAAAGAGGAGAGUGAGGAUGUGAAGAUUGAAGAAACAUUCACAGUCAAACAGGAAGCUCUGCAGGAACAAACAGGUUGGUUUUCAUUCUCAAAGACCAACUCAGUCAUUUGAUCCUCAUUCAGAUAUAUUUUAAUAAUAAGAAUACUAAAUUAAAUCCAUCUUGCGGCCCUGAGUGUGCUGCCUAGUUCUCCUAAACGCACAUAAGCACUCAUUGAAAGACAGGAAUGAAUUUCUUUCUUGCUUUACUUGUUCUCGUGUCUUUGGUCAUUAUUUUAUGUAUUAUUAGUCUCCCAUUUUCUCUACCUUCUUAAGGUUGUUGCUUUUCUUGUUCUCCUACUGUUUGUAAGGUGUCCUUGAGCACUAAAAACGUCCUUGGGCACUAAUGUCGUUUUAAAAUGAUUAUUGAACAAAUCCUUAUAUUUGCGUGUCACACUCACUAUACAAAUUUAUCAGGACUUACUGAAAAUGGAAAGGAUUGGAAGGACAUUUGCUGUGCUCUAUCAUUGAUAGGGAAAAGGACACUCUUUGCUAGAUUGAAUUUGUCUCCAGAAGCAUUUACAAAUCCUGAAAUUAUUGUAAGAGCUUUUGAAAUGCAUGCAUCUAGAUUUGACAGAAAAAGAAGAUCAUCCGCAUUUAGCUGGAAAUUAUGCUUGUGUCCCUCUCUGAAAAUUCCUUGCAAGCCAUCUGAGUUCCUUAAUACAGUUGCAAGAGGUUCGAUGGCAAUGUCAAAGAACAGAGGGCAGCCCUGUCUCGUUCUUCUAGAGAGUGGAAAGCCUUUAGAAAUAAUAUUAUUUGUUUGAAUGGAUGCUUGGGGCCUAGAAUAUAACAUUUUAACCAAGGAACAGAAUCCAGGAUCAAAACCAAUUUUUUUUAAGCGCUGUAAAAAAAUAGAUCUACUCUAUUCUAUCAAAUGCCUUAUGGGCAUCUAAGGAAAGAGUGAUUCCGAAACAAGAGCUUCAGCAAAUACCUUGCUCAACAGGGGUGUUAGCUUGGCAGUAAACUUCUUAUAAAACUCGGAUGGGAAGCCAUUGGGGCCUGGUGCUUUUCCGGUUUUCAAUUUUAUUUCAUAAGGUGUUAAAUUUCCUUCUAAUGCCAACUAAUCUAAAUCACAGAGGGAUGGUUAUUCUAAAUAAUAAAAAAAAAACUCAAUACGUUCAAUCUUGUUUACCUCAGAGCUGUAAAGAGUUUUAUAGAAGUUUUUAAAUUGAUCAUUAAUUCUCUGUUGAUUAGUAAUAAUACUGCCAUCAUCCUUCCUAACUGCUGUUAUAAAACCAGCUGCUGAGGAUUGUGUCAGUUGGUAACACAAUAACCUGCCAGCUCAUUUCCCAUGUUCACAAUGAAUCUAGCGUGAUCUUAUGUGGAGAUCCUCGAUAUUUUCAUCUGUCAGGGAGUCAUAUUCCUCUUGCAGAAGGAGUCUUUUCUUAUGGAGCUCUUCGGAAGGUGAUGUUGAGAGUAGCUGAUCAAUUGUAUUAAUUUUAUUUAUAAUCUCUGUAAGUCGUUUUGACUUUCACUAUUUAAAUUUUAAUUGCACUAGCUUAAUCUAAAAUUUGUCCUCAUAUAUAUGUUUCUGAGUAUCCCAUAGGAUGCUAUAACUUAUCUCUGGGGAUUCCUUUGUCUUAAGGAAGAAAUCAAUUUGAGCAUCAAUAAAUUUUAAGAAAUCGUCGUCUGCCAAGAGUCUUGAGUUAAACCGCCAUGUACGUUGUGGGAUUACAUUGCCUGGAAAACAUAGUUUUAGUGAGACUGGACAUUAGUCCGAAAUAACAAUACUACCAUACUCUAAUUCUGACAUUAAGGGAAGUAACUGCUUGUCCAGGAGAAAAUGGUCAAUCCUGGAAAAGGUUUGAUGCACUGGUGAAUAGAGGGAAAAUUGCUUGGAAGGUGGAUAUUUAAAUCUUCAGGGGUCACUUACACUAAGUCUGAAGAAAGGAGUUGAUACAUUGUGCUGGCUAACUUAAUGAAUUACUCAAAGAGCUAGAGCGGUCCAAAAUUGGGUGCAAAACAAUUUAAAUCACCUCCUAAGAGACUAGGCAAAAUUGAAAAUAAAUCUUUUUCAUUGUUUUUCAUUGUCUACAGACACUACAGGACUACAGACAUGUUAAAAAGUUUACCUUGGAUUAUUAUGUAUCUGCCAUUUUUAUCCAACACAUUUGACUCCAAAACAAAAUGUACAUUUUUAUGUAUAUGUACAUAACGCCGCUACUUUUGCUAUUGAAGUUAGAAUGAUAUAUUUGUGUAUACCUUCCUCUAUUAAGUUUAGAAUAGUCAUUUUUCAUCAGAUGUGUCUCCUGUGAAUAUACAAUAUCAGAUUUUUACUUAUUAAAAUGUGCGAACACCUUGUUUUGUUUCACUGGGUGAUGUCAAAACGGAGGGCUAUCGAAAACAUUUAUCAGUAGCAUCUAAAAGGAAUCUGUGGGUUUUGUAUGUAGGGGAUGUGUGGGGGAGAGAGGAAAAAA